RNAcentral lists this unclassified non-coding RNA (2241 nucleotides) under Portunus trituberculatus (swimming crab). RNAcentral describes it as "endoplasmic reticulum mannosyl-oligosaccharide 1,2- alpha-mannosidase-like, transcript variant X3". Lineage: Eukaryota; Metazoa; Arthropoda; Malacostraca; Decapoda; Portunidae. The record is from RNAcentral.
AUGGAGUCGAUAGUGUUUUGUUCCGAGUUUUGUAAACACGACUUAAUGACGUUUAUUGCAGGUCGUCCGCACUACCCGUGCUGGAACCAAUGAAGUGGCAUCGCGACUUGCCGCCUGUAGGCUGUCACCAGUAGCGUUACUGUGCUUCCCUGUGGUCCUGGCAUGUGCUGCAGUGCCAUGUGUUGAGCCAUGUACAGCGGCGGUGUCAUGGAGGAACGGAGGGACUAUGUGACUCUUUCCCUGCCGGCCGUACUAUUGCCUCCUCCUGCUGCUGCUGCACCUUCCCGCUCCUGGAGGAGGCGAUGGAAACAACUUCCACGUCUGCAGAGGGUGGUGGUGGUGAUGGUUGCUGUAGGCCUACUGGUUGGAGUAGCACUGCUAGUGACUACCUACCUGUCAGGUCCUUCGCACUCAUCCUCCCUCUCCCACACACCUCAACCUUCCCAUUUCUCUUACAAGUUGGAGAAUAAUCUUACCCCACCUCCAGUAAUGGUACAUCUCCCCGAACCCCAUCAAGAUAAGGUGGAGACAGUACCAGAGGAGCAGGCCCUGAAGGAUGAUCCAGGACAUGAUGGCCGGGACCAGAUAGUGCCACCACCAGGAUUACCUCAAAAAAGAUCAGCAAGGCAGGAGGCAGUAGUUGCAGCCAUGAAGCAUGCCUGGAAAGGAUAUAAGACUUAUGCAUGGGGCCAUGAUCACUUGAGACCUGUCUCACAGACUCGUAGUGAUUGGCUCCGCCUUGGUCUCACCCUUGUGGAUGCCCUUGACACUCUCUGGAUCAUGGACUUACGAGAAGAGUUCAGUGAGGCAAGAGAAUGGGUAGCAACACAACUCAACUUUAAUCUCAACCAGGAUGUGAAUCUCUUUGAGACAACCAUCAGGGUUUUAGGUGGCCUUCUCUCCACCUAUCACCUCACAAAGGAGCAACUUUUCCUUGACAAGGCUGUUGACCUUGGUGAGAGGCUGGUGUCAGGAUUCAACAGUGGCUCUGGAGUUCCCUUUGCUGAUGUAAAUUUGUAUUCACGUCGUGCCUCCAAGCCAAAGUGGGGGCCAGACUCCUCAACGUCUGAGGUCACUACCAUACAGCUGGAGUUCCGAGACCUCUCUCGAAUCACUGGCAAUCCUAUCUUUGAGGAGAAGGCCAGCUUUGUGAGUGAGCACAUUCACAAACUUCCUAAGGUUGAAGGUUUGGUCCCCAUCUUCAUUAAUGCCCAGACUGGCCAGUGGCGGUCCCACUCCACCAUCACCCUUGGGGCACGAGGGGACUCUUACUAUGAGUACCUCCUCAAACAGUGGAUACAAACUGGACGGACUGUGGAUUACCUGCGAAUGGACUACAAUGAAAGUGUAUCAGGUAUGGAGCAUCUGCUGGCAGCACGUACACAACCUUCUAAGCUCCUCUUUUUUGGUGAACUUCACGGUAGCACCAAAAACUUUGUCAAUAAGAUGGAUGAACUCACUUGCUACUUGCCAGGAACAUUGGCCCUUGGUGUCCACUAUGGAAUGCCUCGACAUCAUCUGGACUUGGCACAGGACCUCAUAUACACCUGUGUUCAGACAUGGCUCAGGCAGCCUACACAUCUAGCUGCUGAGAUCAGCUAUUUCAACACCCAGCCCAAUACCAUGGAUGGAGAAGACUUCUAUGUGAAGAACAAUGAUGCCCACUAUCUGCUGAGGCCGGAGACCAUAGAGUCAUUGUGGUACCUUUACCACUUAACGGGCAAUACCACCUAUCAAGACUGGGGAUGGCAAAUGUUUCAGGGUAUUGAAAAAUACUGCAAAGUGGAGAACGGUUACACUUCCAUUGGCAACGUUCGCAGUGCUACAGAUACCAAGCCAAAGGACAAAAUGGAAUCCUUUUUCCUUGGUGAAACUCUGAAGUACCUCUAUUUGCUCUUCAUGGAGGAUCAGACUGCCUUCAGUGUGGAUAAGUGGGUAUUCAAUAGUGAGGCACACCCACUUCCCAUAUAUUCCCGCUAACCAGUUGUGCCCUCCGCAAGACUGCAGCAAAAUGAUAGAAGUCAGGAGGAAUGUCUCUCGGGGGACAUUUUCAUUUCUUCUGAUGUGUGAGAACUGUGAUAUAUUGCUGAGUUACAGCGACACACGGCGGCAUCCUGAUGCUGCUGCUGCUGCUGCUGGUCCUCCUUGUCCAUUCUGCCCAAGCAGUUCUCGCAACACACAUCACCGCUCUAUUUUCACCUUCAAUUUUUAACAAAUAAAGCAAAAAACAGCAUAUGUUAA